UACAGAGGGUGCAAGCGUUAAUCGGAUUUACUGGGCGUAAAGCGUGCGUAGGUGGCUGUUUAAGUCGGAUGUGAAAGCCCUGGGCUUAACCUGGGAACUGCAUUCGAUACUGGAUAGCUAGAGAUCGGUAGAGGGCAGCGGAAUUCCGGGUGUAGCGGUGAAAUGCGUAGAUAUCCGGAGGAACACCGAUGGCGAAGGCA
RNAcentral lists this ribosomal RNA (200 nucleotides) under uncultured bacterium. RNAcentral's name for it is "partial 16S ribosomal RNA". It matches the Rfam family "Bacterial small subunit ribosomal RNA", at positions 524 to 723 of the family's 1533-position model. The record is from RNAcentral.